GAAGGAACUGUCUGCAUUCCUCCCUGACCUCUUGGAACUAUGGGUACCUGUCUUGGACUCAGUUCCCUGAAGCUGUGACAUUAAACAUUUGUUGAGGGAACCCAUUUUGAUAAAGCUUGACAGGUUCUGAAUUCUCCACCCUGAGACCUGGGAAAAUACAAGAAAGAAAAUCACUCUAUCAGCACUGACAAUAAUUGGUGAGACAUUAGAAAUAUUGUAAACCAGGUAAAUGA
RNAcentral lists this long non-coding RNA (233 nucleotides) under Gopherus agassizii (Agassiz's desert tortoise). RNAcentral describes it as "lncRNA (ENSGAGG00000020954.1)". The record is from RNAcentral. Lineage: Eukaryota; Metazoa; Chordata; Testudines; Testudinidae.